GAACGCUGGCGGCGUGCUUAACACAUGCAGUCAGGAGGAGCUUUCGGGCUUCGACCGGCGUACGGGUGCGUAACGCGUAUACAUCUGCCUUUCACAUAGGGAUAGCCCGAAGAAAUUUGGAUUAAUACCUAAUAGUAUAUAGAUGUGGCAUCACAUUUAUAUUAAAGCUGAGGCGGUGAAAGAUGAGUAUGCGUUCUAUUAGCUAGUUGGAGAGGUGACAGCUCCCCAAGGCGACGAUAGAUAGGGGUUCUGAGAGGGAUAUCCCCCACACUGGUACUGAGAUACGGACCAGACUCCUACGGGAGGCAGCAGUGAGGAAUAUUGGACAAUGGUCGGAAGACUGAUCCAGCCAUGCCGCGUGCAGGAAGACGGCCUUAUGGGUUGUAAACUGCUUUUGCAGGGGAAGAAUAAGGACUACGCGUAGUUUGAUGACGGUACUCUGCGAAUAAGCAUCGGC
This 457-nucleotide ribosomal RNA is filed under the name Capnocytophaga sp. oral taxon 329. Its description in RNAcentral is "bacterial SSU rRNA". It matches the Rfam family "Bacterial small subunit ribosomal RNA", at positions 31 to 497 of the family's 1533-position model. Lineage: Bacteria; Pseudomonadati; Bacteroidota; Flavobacteriia; Flavobacteriales; Flavobacteriaceae. The record is from RNAcentral.